ACUUACGAGUGUGAAAUAAAUUCCAUAUCCAACAAUCACUCAUUGUGUAACCUCUAUAUAUCCAACAAUUACGAGUCGUGUGACCUUUUCUACCACAAUAAUAUCGGCUUGAAUCAAAGGGAAACCUGCCCAAGUAUAAUUUCGUGCAUGCAAAUGAAGUGUACCGGUGACGUCCGGGACCCGGUGAUACGACGUUAUUCGAUUAUUGAUGACGUCAAUAACAAUUGCAGCUUGGGUCAAAGUUUGAAUUCUUGACUAAUCAAAAGACCGGAAGGUCAUAUUCCACUAGUGGUAAAUAAUAUAUACCGGGUAUUUAUCCAACAGUCGGCACAUUUAUACAAUGUCUUGAUAGUGGAAUAACACAGCGUAUUGUGGUAGAAAGUGUUGUAUUGGAAAUGAUAGUGUGGGGGUAUAGUGUUUUAUUGGAAAUGACAGUGUGGGGGUAUAGUGUUUUAUUGGAAAUGACAGUGUGGGGGUAUAGUGUUUUAUUGGAAAUGACAGUGUGAGGGUAUAGUGUUUUAUUGGAAAUGACAGUGUGGGGGUAUAGUGUUUUAUUGGAAAUGACAGUGUGGGGGUAUAGUGUUUUAUUGGAAAUGACAGUGUGGAGGUAUAGUGUUUUAUUGGAAAUGACAGUGUGGAGGUAUAGUGUUUUAUUGGAAAUGACAGUGUGGGGGUAUAGUGUUUUAUUGGAAAUGACAGUGUGGGGGUAUAGUGUUUUAUUGGAAAUGACAGUGUGGGGGUAUAGUGUUUUAUUGGAAAUGAGAAUGUUGGGUAUAGAGAGAUUUUUUUUUUAGAAAUGACAGUGUUUGGUAUAGAGUAUUUUAUUGGAAAUGAGUGUGGGGUAUACACUAUUUCAUUGGAAAUGACAGUGUGGAAGAAAAUCAUAAAAUUGAAAUUGACACAAUCAUGUUAAGAUUCAGUAAUGCUUAGGUUUAUGAAAGGCCCUUACUAGUGACUUCUCACUUUCUCACACUAGGUUAAGGCACACAAGCCAUACCCAGAAACAUGACCUAAGCACUUUCUUUUUAAAA
This is a long non-coding RNA of Pecten maximus, 1031 nucleotides long. RefSeq lists it as uncharacterized. Lineage: Eukaryota; Metazoa; Mollusca; Bivalvia; Pectinida; Pectinidae. The record is from RefSeq and is a predicted model, not a curated record. The transcript has 2 exons.